GGCCGGGCGGGCGCGGCGGCGCGUGACGCUGUGGCGUCGUGGGGCCAGGCGGUGGCCGCAGGGCGGGAGGGAAAAAUAAACCGAGGGUUUAAAGUUACGCUUAAAGCUACGUCCCGCUGGGCCCUGCGCUCCUCGGCCUGGCGCGGCGCCUUCCCGCGCUGGCUGCUCGGGGACGGGUUCCCGCGCGGGUUCGGAAGCAGGACGGCGCGGAGCAGAGCCCUGGAGCAUCUGCCCUCCGCGUCGCGAGGGGCCACGAAGGCCGCGUGACACCGGUGCCGGGCGCUGCGCGCUGCGGGAGGACUGCAGGGGCAGCCUGCAAAGCCGAGGCUGGGAAGGAAACCUGCAGGUCCACUGAGUACACCGAGCUGUGGCUCCGUGAGGUUUAUGAAUACUUGUUUCUUCCCGUUAGCCACUUGCUAUUCCACAGACCAGACUCUGCCUCUGGCUUCCCCUGGGAUAUGAGCACUGCUGUCUUGGCCUCCUCGCCUGUUGACAUGUCUUCUUCUCAACACCUACCAUUCCCUUUUCUUGCUGACUAUCAUGCAGUAUUAUGCAUUCUGGUCAUUACCUUGUAAGAAGGAAGAUGUUGGAAACAGGAAAUGUACUCUAGAAAAAGUAUCCAGCAAGACAGAGCUGAGACCAUGAGCAGCUGAAUCUCCCAGCAGUGGCAACAGGCAUAGCAGAAGCCAUUAAAAGCAGUCUGAGGCAGAUAAAAAAUAGAGGUGGACAAUAUGUUGGAAAGAACUUUGUAUAAACAAUGAGUAGUUGCGAACAACAAAAUCCAGUUCCAAGUUGCAAUGAAGAGCCGUAUGUUUUGAAGACCCUGUGAUUGUCAGGCAACAAAAAAGUAUGUUCUAGUCAAUGGUCAGCAACCCUGCAUAAGGAUCUGUCUGAGUGGUUCCUCAGUCAUGACCCUGUCUUGUUAUACUUGGGCGUAUGGUUGAGACCGGAUCCAGGGAGAAAAUAAAGGAGAAAAAAGGGAGAAAAAUGAAAAUUUGAAGGCAAAAGGACCGUGAUGACUGGCCUGCCCAAUUGACUUCCCAGGGAAGAGGGAUGUGAUGCUGGUGCUGAAUGGAGUUCACAGUCAGAGGAAACGGUGCUGACAGUUUCAACCACUGCUAUCAAGUCAUCACCACUGUAGUGGGAUGCAGCAUACUGAGCAAAAGUUUGGAAACAGAGAAGAGUUUUGCCAGGACUUUCAAAAAGUUGAGCGGUUUGGUAAUAUCGUCGCAAAAGCUACUUUCACACCUUUACUCUGAAAAAGUUAGAAGCUGUCUCCAAGCUCCGCACUCUUUCUGGACCCUUCCCUGUGCUGAGGAGGGCUCCCUCACCCCAGCGAAGCUGCGCGGAGGCUUGUGGUGCCGGGGUUGUGCUAAUGGCUUAGGUUCCCUUGCUUGGAGAAUUUUCCUGCAAGCCAGUCCAGCUGUUUUGCACCAGGUUAUUCAAAAAAGCAGGAAAACUGACAGUUCCCCAGUGACGUUUUUAUUAUGGAUUCCAAUCCCUUAAGCUACGUUGGGUCUUCUCGCAUUAAGUUAUAUUUUCAUAUUCAACACAAAGACUAAAUCAGCAGGCAUUCUAGAAUAUAAAGCAGCAUUAUGUGAAGAACGUAAAGAAACACAGGAAGUCACUUUCAUCUAAUACUGAAAUUUGUUAAGAGGACUGAAGAAUCCGUAGUUGUCAGAAGACAGCAGAGGGAAUGGAAGACAUGCCGAAUUUCCUAAUAAGUUAGUCUGGUGGCAAUGAUGGUUCUGCUGUUCCCUAUGUGGUGGAGGAUGCUUCAGGAUCAGGAGGAGGGUAAAACAACAUGCCAGCAAGAGAGAUAUUUGGAUCCAGAGAGCAAGUUUGGUUUCUAAGAUUUUCCAGAUUUUUGUGAUGCCCUGAGAACUGCAAGAGUAAUUUUCUCACCAUUUUCUGUGCAUUUCAAGAUCUUACCGCCUAUCCCACAGGAAGAAGAGGAAAAGACUGAGCACGACAUGUAUCACCAGCUUAUUGUAAAGCAAACAAGGAAAAAGGAUGGAGAGAAGGAAAUCUCCCAUUGCCAACUGAAUCUCUAUGCUGAUCAUCUGUGAGAGUGACAAAUUAAGACUUUUCUGGAGGAAUGAGAGAGCCAGCAAGAAAGGCUCUCUAGCCUCACUCAGAUGAUUGCUUGAAAAUGAGAGAAAAAAGAGAUAUCUGAUAAUUGAUGAAAUCAUUGUUCAUUUUUGGCACCUGAAGUUGAUGGACUGGGAGACUGCAUGCCAAAGAUGGUCGUCAUAAUAUGCCACUUCAUCAUAAGGAAAUCCGGUUUGAGAGCAUUCUGUGAGGCCACAAGCAUGGCAAGUCAGAGAUGCUGGGGAGUUGCUUCGGAAGUGCUGAUCCAAAAGGACUGCUGAAAAUGCACCCAAAGAGCUCUAAUGUGGUCAUCUCCCUCUAACUGGAACUCCCAUGUGCAGGUGUAUAACCUACAGAGGAAAAAGGAAGUUCUACCCUUCCCCACUUAAAAAGACCCAGAGAAAAAGAGGAGAAGCAGAAGGAACCUUCCCUGUGGCACACGGAAGAGAAUGUUCUGCAAGUUGUCUCAAGGGACCUUCUGUGAUUUUUAAAGAGCUCCAGAUCACUAAUAUGAGGGCAACCCAUUCUCACUUCCAGCCACAAAAGCAGGAAAAGGAAAUGAAGGAACAGACGAGGCUGUGGGCAAGG
Long non-coding RNA from Dromaius novaehollandiae (emu), 2679 nucleotides. RefSeq lists it as uncharacterized. Lineage: Eukaryota; Metazoa; Chordata; Aves; Casuariiformes; Dromaiidae. The record is from RefSeq and is a predicted model, not a curated record. The transcript is spliced from 15 exons.